This 399-nucleotide ribosomal RNA is filed under the name uncultured bacterium. RNAcentral describes it as "partial 16S ribosomal RNA". It matches the Rfam family "Bacterial small subunit ribosomal RNA", at positions 360 to 776 of the family's 1533-position model. The record is from RNAcentral.
AAUAUUGCACAAUGGGCGCAAGCCUGAUGCAGCGACGCCGCGUGAGCGAUGAAGUAUUUCGGUAUGUAAAGCUCUAUCAGCAGGGAAGAUAAUGACGGUACCUGACUAAGAAGCUCCGGCUAAAUACGUGCCAGCAGCCGCGGUAAUACGUGUGGAGCAAGCGUUAUCCGGAUUUACUGGGUGUAAAGGGAGCGUAGGCGGUCUAUUAAGUCUGAUGUGAAAACCUUGGGCUCAACUCAAGGCCUGCGUUGGAAACUGGUGGACUGGAGUGUCGGAGGGGCAAGUGGAAUUCCUAGUGUAGCGGUGAAAUGCGUAGAUAUUAGGAGGAACACCAGUGGCGAAGGCGGCUUGCUGGACGAUAACUGACGCUGAGGCUCGAAAGCGUGGGGAGCAAACAGG